Small nucleolar RNA from Zosterops lateralis melanops, 92 nucleotides. The record is from Ensembl. NCBI's taxonomy places the organism in Eukaryota, Metazoa, Chordata, Aves, Passeriformes, Zosteropidae.
GCUGGUGUAAGUGAUGACUGAUUUUUUUUCCCCAUCAGAGCGACAGUGUUGAUUUCUUGCUAUUCAAGCCAGAUCGUGUCUGAUGCACCAGC